Molecule: ribosomal RNA, 460 nt
Filed under: uncultured bacterium
Lineage: Bacteria
Description: partial 16S ribosomal RNA
Rfam family: Bacterial small subunit ribosomal RNA
Source: RNAcentral
CCUACGGGUGGCUGCAGUGAGGAAUAUUGGUCAAUGGGCGCGAGCCUGAACCAGCCAAGUCGCGUGAGGGAUGAAGGUUCUAUGGAUCGUAAACCUCUUUUAUAAGGGAAUAAAGUGUGGGACGUGUCCUAUUUUGUAUGUACCUUAUGAAUAACGAUCGGCGAACUCCGUGCCAGCAGCCGCGGUAAUACGGAGGAUCCGAGCGUUAUCCGGAUUUAUGGGGUUUAAAGGGUGUGUAGGCGGCCUUUUAAGUCAGCGGGGAAAGUCGGUGGCUCAACACUAUAAUUGCCGUUGAAACUGGUGGGCUUGAGUAUGUUUGAGGCAGGCGGAAUGCGUGGUGUAGCGGUGAAAUGCUUAGAUAUCACGCAGAACCCCGAUUGCGAAGGCAGCCUGCCAAGCCAUGACUGACGCUGAUGCACGAAAGCGUGGGGAUCAAACAGGAUUAGAUACCCUAGUAGUC